AUACGGAGGAUCCGAGCGUUAUCCGGAUUUAUUGGGGUUAAAGGGAGCGUAGGUGGAUUGUUAAGUCAGUUGUGAAAGUUUGCGGCUCAACCGUAAAAUUGCAGUUGAAACUGGCAGUCUUGAGUACAGUAGAGGUGGGCGGAAUUCGUGGUGUAGCGGUGAAAUGCUUAGAUAUCACGAAGAACUCCGAUUGCGAAGGCAGCUCACUAGACUGUUACUGACACUGAUGCUCGAAAGUGUGGGUAUCAAACAGGAUUAGAUACCCUGGUAGUCCACACAGUAAACGAUGAAUACUCGCUGUUUGCGAUAUACAGUAAGCGGCCAAGCGAAAGCAUUAAGUAUUCCACCUGGGGAGUACGCCGGCAACGGUGAAACUCAAAUGAAUUGGCGGGG
This 393-nucleotide ribosomal RNA is filed under the name uncultured bacterium. Its description in RNAcentral is "partial 16S ribosomal RNA". It matches the Rfam family "Bacterial small subunit ribosomal RNA", at positions 523 to 918 of the family's 1533-position model. The record is from RNAcentral.